UGAGGAAUAUUGCCCAAUGGACGCAAGUCUGAGGCAGCAACGCCGCGUGGGCGAUGAAGGCCUUCGGGUUGUAAAGCCCUUUUCUGGGGGAAGAGGAAGGACGGUACCUCAGGAAUAAGUCACGGCUAACUACGUGCCAGCAGCCGCGGUAAUACGUAGGUGGCAAGCGUUAUCCGGAUUCACUGGGCGUAAAGCGCGUGCAGGCGGUUUCGUAAGUCGGACGUGAAAGCUCCUGGCUUAACUGGGAGAGGUCGUUCGAUACUGCGGGGCUUGAGGUCGGGAGAGGGACGUGGAAUUCCCGGUGUAGUGGUGGAAUGCGUAGAUAUCGGGAGGAACACCAGUGGCGAAGGCGACGUCCUGGCCCGCACCUGACGCUGAGACGCGAAAGCGUGGGUAGCGAACGG
This 404-nucleotide ribosomal RNA is filed under the name uncultured bacterium. RNAcentral's name for it is "bacterial SSU rRNA". It matches the Rfam family "Bacterial small subunit ribosomal RNA", at positions 355 to 775 of the family's 1533-position model. The record is from RNAcentral.